This 557-nucleotide long non-coding RNA is filed under the name Salvia miltiorrhiza (redroot sage). RNAcentral's name for it is "long non-coding RNA (SMIL_LNC013113)". Lineage: Eukaryota; Viridiplantae; Streptophyta; Magnoliopsida; Lamiales; Lamiaceae. The record is from RNAcentral.
UUUGGGUUAUAAUGUAGGGACAUUGGUUAAGGUAGGGAAAUAUAGGCUAAGUGACUCAAAUAAAUCAAGAACACCAUAUGACUUCACUAAUCAAGUAUGGAAUAAAUUCCAUCUUCCACCCAACUAUAUCACCAUAAUCAACACUACUCAAGGGAUUUAAUCAUCACCAUACAAAACUAAACACUCUUUUAUGCUCUCCAUUUAUUUCCAACAAACAAAGUCGAUUUUCUAACAAAUUUCUCAAUAAACACUCGACUUUAUACUUUUUUUUCCUUUUUUUUACUUCUUUUUUUUUUUCUUUCCACAACUUUUCUAGAGCUCAUAAGAGUAAAUAGUAACACAAAAUCAUCCCUUCUUUUUUCACAACCCACUAUGAAUAUUCACCACACAAAGAUCCCCAUAUACUUCAUCACCCCCUAUCAUCCGGCUAAAGAAUAAAAGCUAAAUAGGCUCAAAGUGGAUAACAAAGGAUAAUUUUUCGUUAAAGACAGUGUUUGGGAUAAUAAAGUGGCUAACAAAAGAUGGCCUAAAAUCAUCUCCUAAUCCUGGGCACAACA